Long non-coding RNA from Malaclemys terrapin pileata, 4971 nucleotides. RefSeq lists it as uncharacterized. The record is from RefSeq and is a predicted model, not a curated record. The transcript has 3 exons. Lineage: Eukaryota; Metazoa; Chordata; Testudines; Emydidae.
GUAGAUUACCUCUGUAUGCAUAGGAAAUAGAAGAUUCAAACUUCAAAGCACUGGUCCAUUGUCUAGUUUUCCUCGGAGGAAAGCACUGCUCUGACAAUUGCUAUGAGGAGGUUUGUCAGCCUGCUUGAGAGCUAUAAAUAAGAAGCCUUAGGCCUGAUCCUGUCAUCUUUAUGAUGCUUAAACUUUGAACAGGGAAAGUGUAAGUCGUACAACUAAGAUCUUCUAAAUAGUUAUUUGGAAUACCCUGGAAAAUGCGUGCAAUGACUCUAUUAGACUCUACAUCUAAGCUGCAUUUGGAUUCAAACUUUUUGGGAUGAUUCCAGAGACUUUUACAAAUCAGCAGCCUUGCCAUCUCUUUUAUGAAACUGACCUUUACACUCAGUUGUAUGUAUAUUGAUCUUUUAACCAUUUAUAAAUCUUUCUUUUUCCUUUUAUUAAUAAACCCUAGAUUUAGUUAUUAAGCAUUGGCUGUAAGCAUGUAUUUAGAUAAGAUCUGAGGAUAAGUGUCUGAUCCUCUGGGAUUGGUAGAACUUUAUGUAUGGUGUAUAGGGUUUUCGGUAACCCCUCACUAUAUUAGACUUGGUUGUCCAGAUGGAAGCCAAGAGCUGGAAUGCCGAAAGGGAACAGUGUUUGGCUUCUUGUUAACCAGUGUGGUACUAUAGAAGCUCUUUUGUUACUGCCUUAGUGAAUCUAAUUAUAGAAUAAACCACCAGUUCUAGGAAUUGUUUGCCCUAUUUCUUGCAGUCUGCCCUGAGCGUUGCAUUCUCAGUGUGGUCCAUCCAGGCCCCUGGUCACACUUGUAUAACAUCAUUAACUAAUAUUCCAGCGAUAAAAUAAUUACAUUCAUUACAUUUAGAAGAUGGUCAUACGGUAACAAUUGCACUUAAUAUCUGACCCUUGACUUGUGAGCCAUCUGGGAUGGGUAGAAUCUGCUAUCAGAAAGGAAGUUAUCUGUAAGAAGUUUUUCAUUAUGCACCCCAGUGCCUUCCACAAUUCUGGAUGGCAGGGAAAUAGCAAGCAAUGAACAGAACGUUAUGAAACAAACAUUCAGGGGGAAAGAAGUGUAACCCCCUUUUUAUGAGCUCACUCAGAAAUCUGUUAUUUCUGGGCUACUGCCUGCAGCAUCUUCUUGCCAAAGGAAAUCUCUACAGAAGACAAAAGGUCCAUCUUAUAGUGCUUAAUGAAGGUAUCAGCUAUAGACCAAGUGGUCGCUUUGCAAAUUUCUUAAGUGGACACACUUGUUCUGCCCGUGAGGUUGCUAAGUAUCUUGCAGAGUGUGCCUUGAUCCCUUUUGGGGCAGGAGCCUCUGACAAUGUGUAGGCUUCCACACUGCAUGGCCUAAAAUCUAGCUAGCAAUGAAAAACUUGAAAGCUCUAAGUCUCUAGCAUUUUAGGUCAAAGGAUACAAGUAGGUGUAGAUUCUGUAUACCUGAGAUACAUUUUCAAUGCUCUUCUGACAUCUAAAGUGUGCCCCAUCUUUUCAAUUGGAUAUUAUGGUUUUGGACAGAAUGAAGGAAGCACAACCUCUUUGGAAAUGUGGAAAGAGGAAUUUACCUUUAGAAGAAAGGAUUCUGGUGUCCUGAACACACAGUAAGGCUCCUGCAUACAUAAGGCUACCAGCUCUGGCAAGUGCCUGGCAUGCACGAGAGCUACUAAAACAAGUCUUAAUGGAUAAAUAAAAGGCUGACUCUUAAAACAGAAGCUUGAAGGGAUGGCUCAUCAGGGUGCUCAAAAGGUAAUGGAAGAUCCCAUUUUGGCUGAUCAGACUGCUUGUAGGAAUCUGACUACCUGUGGAUUGUUUACCAAGGACCCCAAGGAUCCUUUGAAUAGCAUGUCAUUAAGAGCAGACACCUGAUACAUAGUGCUACUGGGCUGAAGACCUCUAGCUGUACCUUCUUAGAGAAAGUCCAGAAUGGGUAGAAUUCCUGGAUUUCUGGGAUUUGCAUUGUGGUUUUGGCACCAGUUGCUGAAUCUGGACCAGGUAGAGUAUGCUUUUAGUGUCAAUACUCUCCUAGAUGAAAGCAAUGUCUUAAUGAUUAUGACAGACGGAGUCCAUUUCCCCUCAAUAGCCAGGGUGUUAGUUGAAUCCAUUUUUGUGUGGAUGAAGAAAAGGGCCUUGGCAAGAGGCUAUCUGGUCUCCUCAGAUGCUUGAGUGGGGGAUCUAGUGUCAGCUCUAUCCCAUCUGAGCCUCAGCCAAGGAGGAUUUAUCAGCAUUAUCAUCGCCUUUUCUUGUUUUAUUUUCUGAACCACUUUCCCCAGUAGCAGAAAGGGUGGAAAUGCAUAAAGUAGGCUCUGUGGCUAACUGCACUAUUAAGCAUCAGUUCCUAUGGAUCUGGUGUCUGCUUUGUGAAUUUUUUUGGUCUCUUAAUUCAUACAAUUCACGAACAGGUCAGUUGAUGGGAGGCCAGACGUCUAACUGAUAAGCUUGAAAACAUUCUGAUUCAGGCAGCUUGGAAUUGUUGAUCCUGUGACUGCUGAGCCAGUCUGCCUUUUGAUUCAGGUCUUCAUUCUGUCCUUCAGAGCGAUCCACAUCAAAGAACUCUUCUGCUUACCUCAUUAUUUCCACUUCUUCCAUGUGUAGAGCCAGACUCCUUGUUUCCCCUUGGUUGUUUCAAUAUGUGACCGUAGUCAUAUUGUCUGAUUGAACCAGAAUAUGGUUCCCCCUGUGGGUGGAACCUUUGCAGAGCUAGAUUGACCAAUCAACUUUAGGUUUAUGCUGUGAGCCUUUUCCGUCUCACUCCAGACAUCCUGAGCUGUUUGGGUCUCCAACUGAGCUCCCCAGUCCUCCAGGCUAAGAUCAGUUGUGAGGACUAAAGGAUCUGGAAGGCAGAUGGGCAUACUUUUGCAGACAUUGUCAUGAACUGACGACAGUUAUAAGGAGCUGAACACCUGUGCUGGACCCUGUAUUUGAUCUUUCAUUUGUUCUGGGGAGUAGUUCUUUCUUCUUCGAGUGAUUGCUCAUGUGUAUUCCACAGUAGGUGAUUCCAAGCCAUCCCUGUUGGAAGUGGGUAGGAGUUCACGAUAGACCGGGACAGAGUACCACCCUGCCGAACCCGGCGUCAUCCCUAGACUGGGAGACGAUCGCUUAAUGCGAAGUGAACGUGUGAACCGAGGCCCAAGUGGCCGCUCUACAACUGUCUUGGAUAGGGACAUGGGCUAUGAAGGCAGCUGAUGAGGCCUGAGCCCUCAUUGAGUGUACCCUAACGAUUGGUGGCGGGGGAACCCCUGCCAGGUCAUAGCAGGUGCGUAUAUAUGAGGUAAUCCAGCAGGAAAGUCGCUGGGUGGAAAUAGGUUGCCCCUUCACCCAAGGCAACAAAAAGCUGGGAGGAUUUCCGGAACGGUUUGGUCCAAUCUAGGUAGAAUGCCAGCGCUCUACGUACAUCGAGCGUGUGGAGGCAGCGUUCCUCAUUGGAGGAAUAGAGCUUAGGACAGAGCACGGGGAGAAAGAUGCUCUGAUCCAUAUGGAAGGCAGAGGCCACCUUCGGGAGGAAUGCCGGGUGUGGUCGAAGCUGCACCUUAUCCCUGUGGAAGACCGUAUAGGAAGGUUCCGAGGUCAAGGCCCUGAGUUCCGAGACACGGUGGACUAACAUGAUUGCUACAAGGAAGGCCACCUGCCAUGAGAGGUGAGACCAGGAACUCAUGGCCAGGGGUUCAAAGGGAGGGCCCGUGAGUCACGACAUAACCAUGUUCAGGUCCCAUUGUGGCACGGGGGGGUGUAGCGUAUGGGAACGAACGGUCAAGGCCCUUCAGGAAGCGGGAGGUCAGAAUGGGAGAAGACCGAGUGCCCUUGCACUGGCAGGUGGAAGGCUGAUAUGGCUGCCAGGUGUACCCUGACUGAGGUGGGUGCCUGUCCUUGGGUCCUAAGGGACAGGAGGUAGUCCAGGAUAAGCUGGAGAGGUGCGGAGGAGGGGGAGACCCCCCGCUUACUCGCCCACUUGAAGAACCUGGACCACUUUGCCACAUAUGUGCGGCACGUGGACGGCUUCCUGCUUUCCAGGAGGAGCCGCCUUACCUGCUCCAAACACCUGCCCUUCUCAUCUAGCCACGGAGCAACCACGCUGUCAGGUGAAGCGUGGCUAGAUUGGGAUGGAGGAGGCAGCCCCCAUCUUGGGAGAGGAGGUCCGGGCGAAGUGGCAGCGUCCUCGGGGGGACCGCCAAGAGGCGAAGAAGGGUCCCAUACCAGUGCUGGCGGGCCCAGACUGGGGCUAUGAAGAUGAGUCUCGCUUUGUCUGCUUUUACCUUUUGCAGGACUUUGUCGAUGAGGGGGAACGGUGGGAAAGCGUAAGGGAGCCAGCCCGACCACCGCAGAAGGAAUGCAUCGGAGAUCGUGCCCCUCCCCAUCCGGAGCAGAACCGGGGGCAACACCGGUUCUGACGGGUUGCAAAGAGGUCGACCUGGGGAACUCCCCAAUCUCGGAAGAGCCGGCCGAGACUGGUGCCUGUCAAGAGGAGCAGCUCCACGUGGGCCUUUACCUCAGAAUGCGAGUCGCCCUUGAGAAGCCAAUUGUCCAGGUUGAGUCGACGGUUGCGGUUUGGCCUUGUCCUUAGCUGGAGGGACGUAGAGGCCCAACGUCUGCAGGGUGGUAAAGAAAUUCUUCAUCCGAUGCAGCCUGACAUCCAUCUGGUCCGCGAAGAGCGCUUUCCCAUCAAACGGGAGGUCUAGCAUAAGGGAUUGGGCCUCCGUCAACAGUCCAGACAGGAGGAACCACGAUGCCCUGCGCAUGGAAAUCGCCGAAGCCAUCGAACGGGCUGCAGUGUCGACUGCGUCCGACGCCGCUUGCAGGGCCGCUUUCGCCACUGCCGCCCCCUCUUCCAUCAGGGCCUUCAAGUCCUUCCUAUUCUGAUCCGGGAGGAGAGGCUCAAACUUAGGCAGAGACUCCUACAAAUUAAAGUCAUAUCUGCUCAGCAAGGCCUGGUGGUUGGCUACCCUGAGUUGGAAACUUGCCAAGGAAUAAAUUUUUCUACCAAAGGAG